RNAcentral lists this ribosomal RNA (1208 nucleotides) under uncultured fungus. Its description in RNAcentral is "eukaryotic LSU rRNA". The stretch from base 559 to 1208 matches the Rfam family "Eukaryotic large subunit ribosomal RNA", at positions 1 to 649 of the family's 3401-position model. Lineage: Eukaryota; Fungi. The record is from RNAcentral.
AAGUCGUAACAAGGUUUCCGUAGGUGAACCUGCGGAAGGAUCAUUAGUGAAUUAGAGCGUCUCUUCGGAGAGCUCAACCUUCAUUUUCCAACUCUGUGCACUAUUGGCGGACUAGUAAGCAAUUAUUAGUCCGCGGCUCAUUCUAAACAUUAGUUAUUGUAUGUAAAUAAAAAUAAAAUAAGAAAAACUUUCAACAACGGAUCUCUUGGCUCUCGCAUCGAUGAAGAACGCAGCGAAAUGUGAUAAGUAAUGUGAAUUGCAGAAUUCAGUGAAUCAUCGAAUCUUUGAACGCACCUUGCGCUCCCUGGUAUUCCGGGGAGCAUGUCUGUUUGAGUGUCAUGAACUCUUCAACCCACCGGUUUCUAGUGAACUGGCUGGUGUUUGGAUUCUGAGUGUUGCUGGCUUGCAAAAGCGAAGCUCACUCGUAAUUGAUUAGCAUCUCAUAUUCGAAAAUCGGAUUGACUCAGUGUAAUAGACUAUUCGCUGAGGANGCUUCCCUUGGGAGGNGGCCGAGUUUUGUAAAGNANAAGCUUCUAACCUACUAGUCAACUUUAGAUUAGACCUCAGAUCAGGCAGGAUUACCCGCUGAACUUAAGCAUAUCAAUAAGCGGAGGAAAAGAAACUAACAAGGAUUCCCCUAGUAACGGCGAGUGAAGCGGGAAAAGCUCAAAUUUGUAAUCUGGCACUUUCAGUGUCNGAGUUGUAAUCUCGAGAAGUGUUUUCCGCGCCGGACUGCAUACAAGUCUGUUGGAAUACAGCGUCAUAGUGGUGAGAACCCCGUAACUGAUGCAGAUGCCCGGUGCUUUGUGAUACACUUUCGAAGAGUCGAGUUGUUUGGGAAUGCAGCUCAAAUUGGGUGGUAAAUUCCAUCUAAAGCUAAAUAUUGGCGAGAGACCGAUAGCGAACAAGUACCGUGAGGGAAAGAUGAAAAGCACUUUGGAAAGAGAGUUAACAGUACGUGAAAUUGUUGGAAGGGAAACGAUUGAAGUCAGACUUGCUAUUUGGAGUUCAGCCGCAAGGUGUAUUCUUCAAUUUGCAGGCCAGCAUCAGUUUUUGGGGGUGGAAAAUCGUGAGUUGAAGGUAGCAGCCUAGCUGUGUUAUAGCUUCUCACUGGAUUCACCUUUGGGGACUGAGGAACGCAGUGUGCUUUUAGCAAUACCCUCGGGUAUUUCACACUUAGGAUGCUGGUGGAAUGGCUUUAAACGACC